RNAcentral lists this ribosomal RNA (460 nucleotides) under uncultured bacterium. RNAcentral's name for it is "partial 16S ribosomal RNA". It matches the Rfam family "Bacterial small subunit ribosomal RNA", at positions 338 to 795 of the family's 1533-position model. The record is from RNAcentral.
CCUACGGGAGGCAGCAGUGAGGAAUAUUGGUCAAUGGACGGAAGUCUGAACCAGCCAAGUAGCGUGAAGGAUGACUGCCCUAUGGGUUGUAAACUUCUUUUGUAUGGGAGUAAAGCUUUCUACGUGUAUGCCUCUGUAUGUACCGUAUGAAUAAGGAUCGGCUAACUCCGUGCCAGCAGCCGCGGUAAUACGGAGGAUCCGAGCGUUAUCCGGAUUUAUUGGGUUUAAAGGGUGCGUAGGUGGAUUGGUAAGUCAGUUGUGAAAGUUUGCGGCUCAACCCGAAAAUUGCAGUUGAUACUGGCGGUCUAGAGUACAGUAGAGGUGGGCGGAAUGCGUGGUGUAGCGGUGAAAUGCUUAGAUAUCACGAAGAACUCCGAUUGCGAAGGCAGCUUACUGGACUGUAACUGACGCUGAGGCACGAAAGUGUGGGUAUCAAACAGGAUUAGAUACCCCUGUAGUC